GAUGAACGCUAGCGGCAGGCUUAAUACAUGCAAGACGAACGGUAACUGUUGUAGCAAUACAAUAGCUAGAGUGUCGUACGGGUGCGUAACACGUAUGCAACCUACUUUGUACAGGCGGAUAGCUCGGGGAAACUCGAAUUAACCCGCCAUGAGAUCAUAGUGUGGCAUCACAUAGUGAUUAAAACUCAGGUGGUACAAGAUGGGCAUGCGUCUGAUUAGUUAGUUGGCAGUGUAAAGGACUACCAAGACGAUGAUCAGUAGGGGACCUGAGAGGGU
RNAcentral lists this ribosomal RNA (276 nucleotides) under uncultured bacterium. RNAcentral's name for it is "partial 16S ribosomal RNA". It matches the Rfam family "Bacterial small subunit ribosomal RNA", at positions 28 to 301 of the family's 1533-position model. The record is from RNAcentral.